RNAcentral lists this ribosomal RNA (253 nucleotides) under uncultured bacterium. RNAcentral describes it as "partial 16S ribosomal RNA". It matches the Rfam family "Bacterial small subunit ribosomal RNA", at positions 524 to 776 of the family's 1533-position model. The record is from RNAcentral.
UACAGAGGGGGCAAGCGUUGUUCGGAAUUACUGGGCGUAAAGGGCUCGUAGGCGGCCAACUAAGUCAGACGUGAAAUCCCUCGGCUUAACCGGGGAACUGCGUCUGAUACUGGAUGGCUAGAGGUUGGGAGAGGGAUGCGGAAUUCCAGGUGUAGCGGCGAAAUGCGUAGAUAUCUGGAGGAACACCGGUGGCGAAGGCGGCUUCCUGGACCGACACUGACGCUGAGGCGCGAAAGCUAGGGGAGCAAACGGG